UCGAUAGCUCAGCAGGUAGAGCAGAGGACUGAAAAUCCUUGUGUCGCUGGUUCGAUUCCGGCUCGAGC
This 68-nucleotide transfer RNA is filed under the name marine eukaryotic metagenome. It matches the Rfam family "tRNA". From Rfam's summary of the family: Transfer RNA (tRNA) molecules are approximately 80 nucleotides in length. The record is from RNAcentral.